This 492-nucleotide ribosomal RNA is filed under the name uncultured bacterium. RNAcentral describes it as "partial 16S ribosomal RNA". It matches the Rfam family "Bacterial small subunit ribosomal RNA", at positions 29 to 507 of the family's 1533-position model. The record is from RNAcentral.
AGUGAACGCUGGCGGUAGGCCUAACACAUGCAAGUCGAACGGCAGCACAGUAAGAGCUUGCUCUUACGGGUGGCGAGUGGCGGACGGGUGAGGAAUACAUCGGAAUCUACUUUUUCGUGGGGGAUAACGUAGGGAAACUUACGCUAAUACCGCAUACGACCUACGGGUGAAAGCAGGGGAUCUUCGGACCUUGCGCGAUUGAAUGAGCCGAUGUCGGAUUAGCUAGUUGGCGGGGUAAAGGCCCACCAAGGCGACGAUCCGUAGCUGGUCUGAGAGGAUGAUCAGCGACACUGGAACGGAGACACGGUCCAGACUCCUACGGGAGGCAGCAGUGGGGAAUAUUGGACAAUGGGCGGAAGCCUGAUCCAGCCAUACCGCGUGGGUGAAGAAGGCCCUCGGGUUGUAAAGCCCUUUUGUUGGGAAAGAAAAGCAGCAGGUUAAUACCCCGCUGUUCUGACGGUACCCAAAGAAUAAGCACCGGCUAACUUCGUG